RNAcentral lists this ribosomal RNA (253 nucleotides) under uncultured bacterium. RNAcentral describes it as "partial 16S ribosomal RNA". It matches the Rfam family "Bacterial small subunit ribosomal RNA", at positions 524 to 776 of the family's 1533-position model. The record is from RNAcentral.
UACAGAGGGUGCAAACGUUGCUCGGAAUUACUGGGCGUAAAGGGCUCGUAGGCGGCCAACUAAGUCAGACGUGAAAUCCCUCGGCUUAACCGGGGAACUGCGUCUGAUACUGGAUGGCUUGAGUUUGGGAGAGGGAUGCGGAAUUCCAGGUGUAGCGGUGAAAUGCGUAGAUAUCGGAAGGAACAUCAGUGGCGAAAGCGACUUCCUGGACCAAUACUGACGCUCAUGUGCGAAAGCGUGGGGAGCAAACAGG